Molecule: long non-coding RNA, 326 nt
Organism: Rhodamnia argentea
Lineage: Eukaryota; Viridiplantae; Streptophyta; Magnoliopsida; Myrtales; Myrtaceae
Exons: 2
Source: RefSeq, a predicted model, not a curated record
CUGUCCUUCCGAAGUUUUUCUGGUUAAGCAACCCUAGGUCUAUUUCUUAUCUCUCUACCUCCAAGGUCUCUCUAGUGAAGAGAAAACCGGGAAUCUGUUUCUUAUCUCUAGGCCUGUACCAGAACAAACGAGAUACCCAUUUCAGAUUCUGCUCUGCUUUUGUUGAUCUCUCCCCCCAUUUCCAAAAACCUUCUCACGGAACACUCCAUCGCAUUCGAGCUUUUCACCACUCAGGAAACCCCCCCACUCUCCCCUGCUGUUUCUUUUCUUUCCUUUGCUCAGAGGGAAGGGGGGAAAGGAAAAUCUGUCACGGACACUGUCAACAC